GGAUGACCCUACAAUUCUCCCCUACCCAGUCCAGGAGCCAGAAUUCUUCCCGGUUGCUCCCAAGCCUGCCCUCCCCUCCUGCCACCUUCCCUGGCCCUCCUAGCAUACCUGCUGUUACAGCUCAUCUUCAGUGAUUUGCCUGGUGGGGGAAGGAAAAGCAACAGCAGGAGCUGCUGGCUGUCUCCAGGAGUGCAGGAGAGCAGGGAGGUGCCGCUUGCCCGGGGCCUGGAUGGAGAGUGGCACUCCCUCCCUUCACACCUCAGGAUGGGCUGAGAUCAGCGCUGGGGUCCCUGAGCACAGCCCUGACUCCAGGCUCUCUGCACCUUUUCCUCCAGACCACCCUGGAGGCAACGCCAGCCCUGCCCUGGGGUAGGCAAGAGCUCGGCUGGCAGGCGGGCCUGUCCCAUGCUCCCAAGUGGAAACCUGCCCCCUCAGCCCAGAGCAGCCCAGUGGAAAUUCCCCGAGCUGGGGAUAGAGAAGUUUACAAACCUCGAGGCUGGGUAAGACUUAGAGGUACCUGGUCCAAACAUAUUCUAAGUGGUUCAGAAAAGUGGAGC
Molecule: long non-coding RNA, 557 nt
Organism: Chlorocebus sabaeus (green monkey)
Lineage: Eukaryota; Metazoa; Chordata; Mammalia; Primates; Cercopithecidae
Source: RefSeq, a predicted model, not a curated record